Molecule: long non-coding RNA, 266 nt
Organism: Magnolia sinica
Lineage: Eukaryota; Viridiplantae; Streptophyta; Magnoliopsida; Magnoliales; Magnoliaceae
Exons: 2
Source: RefSeq, a predicted model, not a curated record
UCUACCAUUGACCUUUUCCUUUCCAAAAAAUCUAGACUAGUGGUCACAUGUAAUUAUCUCACCCAUAUCCUCAUCAUCAACGCCUUAUCCCAACUAAUUGGGAAUAUGUGAUUACCUCAGGACAAUAAAACAUAGAGCUCAUCAUCUCUUACGUAAGCGAGCAUACUUCCAUCUGGAGAGAGAUGGGGAUCAAUAAUUGGCGAACCUGCUGAGCUUUGCAGCUUAAGUUCUGGUUUAGAACAGGAGACAUCCUUAAAAUAGAUCUA